GGGGGGUCAAUUAGAUAUUCCUGCCCAGUGACGAAAGGUUCAACGGCCGCGGUAUCCUAACCGUGCAAAGGUAGCAUAAUCACUUGCCUAUUAAUUGUAGGCUAGAAUGAACGGGUAAACGAAAUAAAGACUGUCUCAGCUAGUUACCAAAAAAUUAUUUUCCACAUGAAGAAAAGUAGAUAUAUUCGAAGGACAAGAAGACCCUAUAGAGCUUAAUUCAAACUAUAGAUUUAUACUAUAUAAAAAAUUCGGUUGGGGCGACCCCGGAACAUUUAUCAUCCUAAAUAAAUAGAUAUAUAAAUCCAAAAAUUGACCCUAUUAAGAUCACAAAAUCAAGCUACCUUAGGGAUAACAGGCUAAUCCCAUUCAAGAGUCCAUAUCAACAAUGGGGUUUGGCACCUCGAUGUUGGCUUAGGGUAUCUAUACAGCGCAAAAGUUAUAUAAAGAUGGUUUGUUCAACCAAUAAUUCCCUACGUGAUCUGAUUUCAGACCAGAG
This 496-nucleotide ribosomal RNA is filed under the name Plutellus sp. 3 PK-2012. Its description in RNAcentral is "partial 16S ribosomal RNA". It matches the Rfam family "Bacterial large subunit ribosomal RNA", at positions 1838 to 2621 of the family's 2925-position model. Lineage: Eukaryota; Metazoa; Annelida; Clitellata; Crassiclitellata; Megascolecidae. The record is from RNAcentral.